GUAUGGGAUGUCCAAAAACUUUUUUCCACUGCUGUAUUUAACAGCAAUCUGAUCUGCUGAUGUUAGCAAGACAAACAAGUGAAGGUUUCAGGCUUUUAUCUAGAAUUGUUCUUGAGAUAUUCAUCUUCAAACAGCCUCAAAUUUCAAUGUGACAAAAUAAAAACGAGUGAAACUGGGUCUACAGUCCACUGAAAAACCUCUAAGAAAGCAUCUGACAUACUGAGCUAAUAUUUCAUAGAUACCAUUAGAAAUAUCCAUAGUUUAUGAUUUUAAAAAAACAAGUUUUUUGGGAGAUGGUCAAUGAUUUGAAAUGGAGUUCCACUGUUGGAAAAACCUCAAUCUCUGAUUCCAGCAUCAGUGCUCCAUUGUUGCAGUUGUGACGUUGUCUUUCAGAUGGUCCUAACACAGGCCACAACUGCUCUGAAAACAACACUCAUGUUCUUGUUUGGAACAGUUUCUCAGUAGAAAUUACGCAGCAAUGUCCAAGUUGUCAGCGGCUCCAGUAAGGAAGACUCUUAAUGUGAGGAAAAGCAUCCUUUGACUUCUUCCUGGAGGUUUUUCUUGUCAGAAAUUGUCUUCCAGUGAGGGACUUCUGACUCUCUGUUCACUUUUUUUGCCCUCUAAUAUUGUUAAAACACAAGAAUCAAUGUUUUGGUUCAAAUCACAUUGUAUUUGCAUGUAGCUCUGUGUUUUCUGCUCCAGGAAUUGGGUGAUGUGUACGACCCAGCACCCACAGCUGGUUGGGUGUCAUGUGGCUCUGCGUUCUGAUUGGAUGAUUGUCCAACCACUGCCACAAGUAUGAAGGUCAUCCUGCAGGCGUGGAAGGAACACGUAGUGGAAACACAAUAGGGAUGAAUCCCAAACCGCCCCCUACACACUAUCCCUACACACUACCCCUCCGUUUGCGCGUUCCCGCGGAGGGUCCUCCAUAUCAAGGGCUGUCCCAAACCGCGUAGUGCGGAGGAAGAGUGGACUGUUCAGCCCUUAAAUAGCGAGUCUGCAUCGAUGCUCGCUCUGGACAACUUUUUCAGGAAGUGCAACGUCAAAAUGGAGGAGGAAACAACAUAUUGAUAUAAGUUCCACAUGCGUACUUUAUUUCUCUCACGCCUUUUUCACACUGACAGAACAUCACAUAAAGAGUGAUGAAAAAAGAUAAAUCAAAAGAAACAAAUCUUCUUCUCUGCUGACGUUUGAUUUAAUUGUGCACCCCCUGACACCUUAAAAUUUGAACACAACUGACAGAAUUCAUUUAUUCAUUUGUUGGAUUUGAAAUGCCAGAUAAUAGGAUUGGAAAACAUGUGAGUGAAAAAAAGUGGGAUGCUUUCGUCUUCUGGAAGCAGCAGUGAUCCUUGUUAGUUGCAACCUGUGCCACAGCGCUACAGCCAUGCACAGUAGGCGUCUUUGUGUUACCAUGGCGAUGACGUCUUCCGUUUUCCGGUGAGGCGACAGGGCGUCCCAUUCCUGACGAUCGUAUUUAUACCCUCCCCCUUCAAUAAUAGGUGCCCUCCACAGCUGCGAGUGUGACUUCUUUUGGAGUGACACUCGGUAGUGGAGGGGGAGUGUGUAGGGGGCGGUUUGGGAUUCAGCUGAGGUGUGUUCAUGUGGCCAUGCUGAGGAAUCCCUCUGCUUCAAGCUAGUGGAGAACAUCAUAGUAGGUGCUGGUUACUGCCCCCUACAGGUCUCUACGCAGUCCUUAAUCCUGGAGAAUUAGAAAACGACUAAAAAAUAUAUUUUAACUUCAUAUAACAAAAAAAUUAACUUACACUCAACUUCUCACACAACUAAUUAACCCUGUCCUGUGGGUCAAAAUUGACUCGUUUUAAAGUUUGAAAAUGUGGGAAAAAAUAUCUAUUUUCACAGUGAAACUUCUGAUGUCCACGUUCUCAACAUUUUGGGAAAUCUUUAAACAUUUUUAGGUGGAAAGAAAGAAAAGUUAAAAAUGUUUCUAAUGAACAUACACACAAAAAAUCAACCAAAAUCCAGCAAAAUUCACUGGAUUUUGGUUGAUUUUUAUGUGAAUUUUCAUAAAGAAAAUAUUAGAAGUUUUACUGAAAUAUAUGUGAUCACUUUAGAUAUUUUUAGGAUUUUUUUUUUAGAGAUUUUUACUCAUUGUUUGGAAAAUAUUUACAACAAUUUUCUUGUCAAAUUUGGGGGAUUUUUUUUUUUUAAAGAACACUUAAGAAAUUACUGGAAUUUUCUUCCUGAAGGUUUUGAAAAUUUUCAGAAAUUUGGGGAAUUUUUUGAUUUUUUUUUUAGACAAAGAAACAAUGUUUUUUGGUGCCCGUAAAUGAGGACAACAGGAGGGUUAAAACAUUAAAAGGCAACAUUAUUAAGGUUUCUUUUAUCAAACGCUUUUCAUCAACAAGUACACAAAAUAGAUUAAAAAUAUAAUCUAACAUAUAUACUGAUUAAAAACUUUGAAUUUCUUAAUGUUGUUCUUCUGCAUAAGUCACUAUUUCAAACUGGCUCAUGUUACUUCCAUGUGAUCUGCCAUUAAAACGGCCACAUUCUACCAUAAACACUAAAUAAUAACACAUCUGCUCAAAGUUAAAGGCCAACAUACGACCCAAACAUGACAUGGAUUUGGUUUUUUGUUCAAUUUUGAUCAUUUUGCAUCUUAUUGGAUCAUUUUGUGCAUUUCAGCUUGUCUUUAGAAAAAAAAUGUAUCAAUCAGACUGUAAAUGAUCUAUGAACAAACCUCUGUGUAAAACCUUCAGAAUGUUGAAUAGAAUAAAUUUGGACCGUGAUGAAUGUUAGUAAAGAUUUCUGGAUCAAUCGGGUCAUGUUUUUAUCUAAUUCAGGUCAUUUUUUUGUCUCUUUUUGUUGUUUUUGUACCAUCUUGGUCAUUGUGUGUCACAGUUCCGCUCCUCUGUCCUGUCUGUCUGUCAGUCUGGUUGUCUCCCAUCCGCUCCUCUGCCCUGUCUGUCUUGCCUGUCUUACAGUUCCAUUCCUCUGCCCUGUCUGUCUGUCUUGUUGGCUCCCAUUCGCUUCUCUACCCUGUCUCUCCUCCCACAGCUCGGUGCCUGAGUGGAGUCUCGCUUCUCAGCUGACUCCACUCAGGCAAUCAACUACCUCCACGGCUCCCGGACAGCUGACUAUCAUCUCACUAACGACUCACCUCUACAAUAAGUACCGGCUCAGCCUUCCACUCCCUGCCAGAGUGUUGAACCAAAACCACAUACCAGCUGUCCGGGAUCCCCGCUGUCAUCCUUCCCCUCCGGCUCUCCCCCAGCCAGUUAUCACCGGUUCUUCCUUGCCUGGACCCCCACUCCUGCCUGGAACCCCCACUCCUGCCUGGAACCUCACUCCUGCCUGGAACCCCCUGCUCAUGCACUCUGGUUUCUCCAUCCUGGCCAUAAUCCACCCCAUACAAUAAAGCAUUCUAAAUCAUC
Acanthochromis polyacanthus (spiny chromis) is the source of this 3392-nucleotide long non-coding RNA. RefSeq lists it as uncharacterized. NCBI's taxonomy places the organism in Eukaryota, Metazoa, Chordata, Actinopteri, Pomacentridae. The transcript is spliced from 2 exons. The record is from RefSeq and is a predicted model, not a curated record.